AAAAAUCUUGAAGCCUUGAAGCCACCUGCAGGGCUGUUGUUUUCCAAGGCCUUGCACUUACGUAAUUGACAUCUACAUAGACACACUCCUGGAACAUAUCGGGGGAGGCAGGCAUUCUGCUUGUUCUCAUUUGUUCUCAAAUUACAUGAUAAAAUACAUGUUUUGGACCUUUUAAACCAAAGGGAGUUAUUGAGCCCGCUUACAAAAUCCAUAACAUGUUAGCAGGACUUAUCUAGCUGCCUCCACAGAAUAGCCAAGCAACUCUACACCCGCUUUAGCCCCCACAAAAACAAGCGGAUUGCACUACAAAUAAUUUGCCUAUUUGGAAAAUGAAAGCUUCUCUGUAGUUUGAGGUCCUAUUUUUUCUUUAAGUUGUUACAGUCUUUUCAUGGUCCUUGAGGUCUAGGUUAGGUUUUUGUUUGGGGUAAUUUUUGUAUCCUAUGGAUACUAUUUAAUCUUUAGUAUUGAGUCAGUAUUUCUCACUUAGGCCUUAGGGGAAUACUGCCUGAAGUAUGUAGGGGGCAUGCGGAAUUCAGACGUGGCUUGGAAACUGCACCAUGGGUUCACCCAAGAAACAGACCAGAGGCAACACAUUCUAUCACUAAAACGUGUUCUCAGUUACACUUCCCUUCCAAAGGUAAGACACAGUUAUCCAGAAAGAGCCCUAGAGAUGGAUAAGGAACCUGUUGGAAUGCUCUGAUAUUAAGAAAAAAAAAAUUAAAUUCAAAACCAAAAACAAGUCACAAGGGAGUUUUAUGCCUAUGUAAUCAGUGCAGACAGCCGUUAAGUAAAUGAAGAGGCAACUAACAAUGUCAGAAAAGAGACCGGGCGGUUCCGGCUGACACUACCCUAAUCUUCCAGGACCCAUUAAAUGGUAGUUUCAACGCAUUACCUACCAUAACAUCCUUGAAUAUCACUGAUUUUAUUUGCAGUAUCAAACAUUCCAUUUCAUGCCCCAUUAACAGUGGGAGCCUGGGCUUUUUGACGCAGCUAAACAUUUUACUAACUACCUGGACUAAGUAACCAAUUAACUUUUGGAGACAAUACGGCCAAUUAAGCGCGAAAAGAAAAUUUGGAAAACAGGCUUUUCCUAUCCGGAUGAACAGAGAUAAUUUGUGUCGAUGGAUGUUCUGUGAAGGCCUAUUGUGUCGAGCAGCGUAUUAAAACAUAAACAUGGCUCUUCCCCCAAGAAACUUACAUUUCAGUAAGGGAGCCUGGCCAAAAUGGAAAACUGCAAGGUUCAAAUCCUGGAGUGCAGAAGAAGCAUUAGGCAUUGACCCUGUGGCUUCCUAAUAGAUCCGCAAAGUGCUUUGUUCCUGGAAAUCAUCCGAUGAGUAGUUCAGUGCUAUUGUAUAUCUUGUUAGAGCAGCCGAAGUGCCACAAAAUGAACUAAAAUCUCCCUGCAGAGUUGCUGUAUCAUAUGCUGAGAACAUUCGGAACUUUCAACAAAUUCAUGUUACGAUCCUGGGUAGCCAUGGUUAAAUCUGUACAGGGGUUAAAUGAGAAAUAUGAGCCUGCUGUUAAGUGUCUUCUGAGAGUGACAAAGCUCUGGCCAUAAGGGAUGGGAGAGGAGGGAUUUCUUCUCAGCCUUCCAGCCCUUUCCAGCUGUAUCACAGACAGGAGACAUAAUGCAAAGGGGCUCAGACAUUGACUUCCUGGAUCUUUGCGGCCCCAGGCAUUGACCCCCUCUACCUGGCUUUUCCUACGCUGUAAAAUGAGGAUCCUCCUAUAUUAUGGAGUUUAUUGUGACAACUAAAUAGCUGAGAAGAAGGACAUCUCAUUUGUUUUAACUAUGCAGUUUCCUGUCUAUCUAUCUAUCUAUCCCAUCAAUCUAUCAAUCAAUCUAUCAAUCUGUCUAUCCCUAUCUAUCUAUCCAUCUAUCUAUCUAUAUCUGUCUAUAUCUAUCUAACAUUUAUCUAUCAUCUAUUCAUCUAUCAGCUAUCUUCUGUCUAUCAAUAUUUCAAUCAAUCUCUCUAUCCCUAUCAAUUAAUCUAUCUACCUACCUAUCAACUAUCCAUCUAUCUCUAUCAUCUAUCAUCUAUUCAUCUAUCAUUUAUCAUCUGUCAAUCCAUCUUCCUACUAUCUAUCAAAAGCAACACAUUUUCUUCCUGACUUUAAAAAUAUUUAAGUGGGCCGGGAGGAUGGCUCACGCCUGUAAUCCCAGCACUUUGGGAGGCCUAGGCGGGCGGAUCACGAGGUCAGGAGAUGGAGACCAUCCUGGCUAACAUGGUGAAACCCCGUCUCUACUAAAAAUACAAAAAAAAAAAAAAAUUAACCAGGCGUGGUGGAGGGCGCCUGUAGUCCCAGCUACUCGGGAGACUGAGGCAGGAGAAUGGGGAGAACCCGGGAGGCGGAGCUUGCAGUGAGCCGAGAUCAUGCCACUGCACUCCAGCCUGGGCGACAGAGCAAGACUCCAUCUCAAAAGAAACAAAAACAAAAACGUAAGUGAUACUCUGUCCACUCUUUUGAUUGAGGAGGUCUGAUUUUCAGGCUUUGGAUUUUAUUAUGUCUUCAAUAUAAUAAUUGUUCCAUGUAUCUCUCCUAAAUUGCCAUUUGAAAAACUGCUUUUCUGAAGUUUAAAGUGCACAUUUUGAUACAUCUUGACACAUAUAUACACCCAUGAAAUCAUCACCACAAUCAGGAUAGUAGAUCUAUCCAUUACCGCCAAGGUUUACUUGCACUCCUUUGAACUUUCUCCCCACUCCUCACCCCCUGCCUAUCCCCAAUCCUUAAGCAAUCACUGAUUUGCUUUCUGUCACUAUCAGUUAAUUUGAAUUUUUCAGAAAUGUAUAUAAAUAAAAUCAUUCGACGUGUAUGCUCUUUUUCUGUUCACCCGGUACAAUUUGAGAUUUAGCCAUGUUUUUGCAUGUGUCAAUAGUUUAUUUUUUUGUUGCUCAGUACUAAUCCAUUUUAUGGAUACAGAGAAAUGUAUUAAUGCAAUCCCAUAUUAAUAGGCAUUUGGGUUGUUUCCAGGUUUGGGCUGUUACAAAUAAAGCUGCUAUGAACAUUUUUGUGCAAGUCUUUUUAUGAGUAUAUUCCUUUAUUUCUUUUGGGUAAAUACCUAGAAGUGGGAUGGGUGUAUCACAUGGUACGUAAAUAUUUAAAUUUUUAAGAGAAUGCCAAACUGUUUUUCAAAGUAAUUGCACCAUUUUAUAUUCCCACCAGGAAUAUAUGAGAAUUCCAGUUCCUCUACAUACUCACAGACAUAUUGUAUGGUCAGU
Molecule: long non-coding RNA, 3221 nt
Filed under: Homo sapiens (human)
Lineage: Eukaryota; Metazoa; Chordata; Mammalia; Primates; Hominidae
Description: HSALNT0225180
Source: RNAcentral